GACGAACGCUGGCGGCGUGCUUAACACAUGCAAGUCGAACGGAAAGGCCCUGCGUUUGUGGGGUGCUCGAGUGGCGAACGGGUGAGUAACACGUGAGUAACCUGCCCUUGACUUUGGGGUAACUUCAGGAAACUGGGGCUAAUACCGGAUAGGAGCUCCUGCUGCAUGGUGGGGGUUGGAGAGUUUCGGCGGUUGGGGAUGGACUCGCGGGUUAUCAGCUUGUUGGUGGGGUAGUGGAUUACCAAGGCUUUGACGGGUAGCCGGCCUGAGAGGGUGGCCGGGCACCUUGCGACUGAGAUACGGACCAGACUCCUACGGGAGGCAGCAGUGGGGAAUCUUGCGGAACGGGCGGAAGUCUGAUGCAGCAGCGCCGCGUGCGGGAUGACGGCCUUCGGGGUGUAAACAGCUUUCGCCUGUGACGAAGCGUGAGUGACGGUAACGGGUAAAGAAGCAACGGCUAACUACGUG
This 468-nucleotide ribosomal RNA is filed under the name uncultured bacterium. Its description in RNAcentral is "partial 16S ribosomal RNA". It matches the Rfam family "Bacterial small subunit ribosomal RNA", at positions 28 to 507 of the family's 1533-position model. The record is from RNAcentral.